RNAcentral lists this ribosomal RNA (250 nucleotides) under uncultured bacterium. RNAcentral's name for it is "partial 16S ribosomal RNA". It matches the Rfam family "Bacterial small subunit ribosomal RNA", at positions 524 to 774 of the family's 1533-position model. The record is from RNAcentral.
CACGGGGGUUGCAAGCGUUGUCCGGAAUUACUGGGCGUAAAGGGUACGCAGGCGGUUUGAUAAGUCAGGUGUAAAAGGCAUUGGCUCAACCAAUGUAAGCAUUUGAAACUGUCAGACUUGAGUAUAGGAGAGGUAAGUGGAAUUCCUAGUGUAGCGGUGAAAUGCGUAGAUAUUAGGAGGAACACCAGUGGCGAAGGCGACUUACUGGACUAAAACUGACGCUGAGGUACGAAAGCGUGGGGAGCAAACA